UACGUAGGUGGCGAGCGUUAUCCGGAAUUACUGGGUGUAAAGGGUGUGUAGGCGGGUCGGCAAGUCAGGCGUGAAAUGAGAAGGCUCAACCUUCUAACUGCGCUUGAAACUGUCGAUCUUGAGAGUGGGAGAGGUAAACGGAAUUCCUGGUGUAGUAGUGAAAUGCGUAGAUAUCAGGAGGAACACCGGUGGCGAAGGCGGUUUACUGGACCACAACUGACGCUGAGACACGAAAGCGUGGGGAG
RNAcentral lists this ribosomal RNA (245 nucleotides) under uncultured bacterium. RNAcentral's name for it is "partial 16S ribosomal RNA". It matches the Rfam family "Bacterial small subunit ribosomal RNA", at positions 524 to 768 of the family's 1533-position model. The record is from RNAcentral.